GGACCCGACCGCUAUCGGGGUAGGGCUAAGCCAUGGGAGUCGCACGCUCCGCCGCCGCGGAACGUGGCGCACGGCUGAGUAGCACGUGGCUAACCUGCCCUCGGGAGGGGGAUAACACCGGGAAACUGGUGCUAAUCCCCCAUAGGGGAAGGCGCCUGGAAGGGUCCUUCCCCGAAAAGGCCCGGCAGAGGUUAGCGCUGCCGAGUCGCCCGAGGAUGGGGCUACGGCCCAUCAGGUAGUUGGCGGGGUAAUGGCCCGCCAAGCCGAUAACGGGUGGGGGCCGUGAGAGCGGGAGCCCCCAGAUGGGCACUGAGACAAGGGCCCAGGCCCUAAGGGGCGCACCAGGCGCGAAACCUCCGCAAUGCGGGAAACCGUGACGGGGCUACCCCGAGUGCCUCCUUUCCGGGGGCUUUUCCCCGCUGUAGGAAGGCGGGGGAAUAAGCGGGGGGCAAGUCUGGUGUCAGCCGCCGCGGUAAUACCAGCCCCGCGAGUGGUCGGGACGGUUAUUGGGCCUAAAGCGCCCGUAGCCGGCCCGGCAAGUCCCCUCCUAAAUCCCCGGGCUUAACCUGGGGACUGGGGGGGAUACUGCCGGGCUAGGGGGCGGGAGAGGCCGAGAGUACUCCCGGGGUAGGGGAA
This 636-nucleotide ribosomal RNA is filed under the name uncultured Desulfurococcales archaeon. RNAcentral describes it as "bacterial SSU rRNA". It matches the Rfam family "Archaeal small subunit ribosomal RNA", at positions 19 to 634 of the family's 1478-position model. The record is from RNAcentral. Lineage: Archaea; Thermoproteati; Thermoproteota; Thermoprotei; Desulfurococcales.